RNAcentral lists this ribosomal RNA (501 nucleotides) under Vreelandella alkaliphila. RNAcentral describes it as "bacterial SSU rRNA". It matches the Rfam family "Bacterial small subunit ribosomal RNA", at positions 88 to 591 of the family's 1533-position model. The record is from RNAcentral. Lineage: Bacteria; Pseudomonadati; Pseudomonadota; Gammaproteobacteria; Oceanospirillales; Halomonadaceae.
CUGACGAGCGGCGGACGGGUGAGUAAUGCAUAGGAAUCUGCCCGAUAGUGGGGGAUAACCUGGGGAAACCCAGGCUAAUACCGCAUACGUCCUACGGGAGAAAGGGGGCUUCGGCUCCCGCUAUUGGAUGAGCCUAUGUCGGAUUAGCUAGUUGGUGAGGUAAUGGCUCACCAAGGCAACGAUCCGUAGCUGGUCUGAGAGGAUGAUCAGCCACAUCGGGACUGAGACACGGCCCGAACUCCUACGGGAGGCAGCAGUGGGGAAUAUUGGACAAUGGGCGAAAGCCUGAUCCAGCCAUGCCGCGUGUGUGAAGAAGGCCCUCGGGUUGUAAAGCACUUUCAGCGAGGAAGAACGCCUAGUGGUUAAUACCCAUUAGGAAAGACAUCACUCGCAGAAGAAGCACCGGCUAACUCCGUGCCAGCAGCCGCGGUAAUACGGAGGGUGCAAGCGUUAAUCGGAAUUACUGGGCGUAAAGCGCGCGUAGGUGGCUUGAUAAGCCGG